UUUAGCUUUUUCUAUCCACAGAUGAUGUCACUAUUCCAUCCACAGAUGAUGUCAUCAUUCCAUCUACAGACAAAUGUAUUUUUCGUUCCAACUAAUGAUGAUUGCUUAGAGUUGUGGAACAUAGAAACAGAUAGCAUGUCACAAAUAAACAACUAGAGUGAUGAGUAAAGUUGUACACCUUCAUACAGCAUUAGCACAAUUGCCUUGGGGAAGAGGUUCCAUUUAUGCCAAAACUAUGUAUGAUUCCUCUGGUUUUCCAAAAACCUGUCCACCCAUUGAAGAUAAAUGGAAGCUGCUGGAAUGAGCUCUUCACACUGAGAUAUCUUCUAUUCAUUAAACUAAAUCUUACACGUUGCUUAUUUAGUCCCUUUUUUUAAUUGAAGUUUGUAACAGCAUAGGAACAGUUGACAGACAAAGGUAGCAAUUAUACAAUAUAGUCAGUAGGUUAUACUCAUAAGAAGUGGAACACCUAAGGGAUCAAAGGGGUGAGAGAAGGCUUAGAACGAGAAUGGACGUUAGUCUAUGUACUCAUGUCUGUAGGAAUAUAGACGAGGAACCCGAAAUCCUGUGUUACAUUUCCUUACAGUUACAAGCAGUCUUCAGAGAUUCUAUGAGAGGAGGAACUGUUGGAGUCGAAAUUCUGUUCCUAAUGCUUUGCUAGAUUGGUUUUGGCAGCAACCAGAAAGUGCAUAAUUAGACCAGCAUAUCCAAAAGAAACACUUGUGGAAGCCAAGGUAAGAUUUGGCCGGUAACAUGUGAGAUUAGGAGUUACACAUUCUACCAAUCGUUCCCAGUACCUCAAUCCCAUGCUGAUACACUCGCAGGUUUAUUCGCUAAGGUGAGAACUGUCAGGAAUUUAAAGUCAAUUCAAUGUUUAGGCCAAAGUAGCCAAACUGAAACUAGAAUUACCUUGAUUUUAUUUUCUAGUUUUUCUAUAUUGGCCUAAAUGUUGGAAUUCACUUUAAAUUCUCUGCAAUUAUCAUUUUACAGAAUCAAGUGAAUGUGUGUGUUCAAAUAUAUCGCUUUCUUAAAAAAAAAAAAACUGCCAUUAGGCAACAGGCACGUUGCGAAGACGGACCUUUCAAGUUACUUUAGAGAAUCUGGGUUCAAAUGGAAAAUUGAAGGUUCUGCAAACCAGAGCUUUUACUCCAAGUCUUUGUACACGUAAAAAGGAAGAUCAUUUCACCACUUGUUAUCCUUUCUAGAGCCAAAAAUUGCAACAUAAAAAUAAUAAGCAGCAGGUGGUUAAAGAAGAAUGAAGUUUAACAGCAGUCUUCCGAACACUGCAACGUGUAGGAGUGGGAAGCACAGCUGUUGCCAGUAUCUGGUUAUUCACACGGCAAACCUUUGGAGCCUGGAAGUGAGAAGAAAGAGAGAGGAAUGAACGGUUUAAGGAACAGUUUCUAUUUACAUAUCCACAGUCCAACGUUGGUUGAAUUCAUUAAGUUAAAGAAGAACAUUGGAGUGGAGCUCAUAC
Non-coding RNA from Pelobates cultripes (western spadefoot toad), 1477 nucleotides. Lineage: Eukaryota; Metazoa; Chordata; Amphibia; Anura; Pelobatidae. The record is from the annotation of a GenBank genome assembly.